AUCCAUCUGAAGAGUCCCAAAAAGGAUGAAACGCUCGUCCUCGAU
RNAcentral lists this non-coding RNA (45 nucleotides) under Schistosoma haematobium. The record is from RNAcentral. Lineage: Eukaryota; Metazoa; Platyhelminthes; Trematoda; Strigeidida; Schistosomatidae.